Molecule: long non-coding RNA, 4932 nt
Filed under: Olea europaea subsp. europaea
Lineage: Eukaryota; Viridiplantae; Streptophyta; Magnoliopsida; Lamiales; Oleaceae
Source: RNAcentral
AAGCAGGACGCGUGUCGACCGGGCCUAUCGUCUAUGCCUUUUCUUUUGCCUUCUAUUGGAAACGACGUCGUAUGGUUCCUUUUGUUUUGUUCCCCUGUGUUCGCCCGUGCAGGGAAGAAACCUAUUUCUUUAUUUCCGUUCCAUUUGCUUCGCUCGUCAGAGGAAAUUCGAGAGUUUUCCCGACUUCGAACGAGGUAGUCUCACGCAAAUCAUUUACUUUUAGUUUUAAUCUACAAAAGGAAGGAUAUUGGCUCAAAGGGUUUGGGAAGAGUGGAUUUGGGUAGCUCUAUUUCUAUUCACGCUUCUUAUAAGUACAUUCAGUUUUAAAAAUAAAAUUUUAGUAUAUUUUAAAUCCUAUAUAACUUUACUUAAAUAAACAUAAACAGAAUUAAAUAAAAAUAUAUAACUCUAAAUUGAUCCACAAAUUUUUAUUUCUAUUAACUUAUUCUAAAUUUUUUUUUAUUCUUUUAGAAUUUAUGUUUAAUUAGAAUCUUAAUAGAUUAGAAAAAAUUACAUGAAUAUAAUUAUAGGUGCCUUUGAUAAAUUGAGUUUUAUGAAUAAGAAUGAUAAAAUUUCUAAUAAACAUUAUUAACAUGAUUAGCUGAAUAAUAUAUGUUCAUUUAAUGUUCAAUAAGUUCAACUUUGUUAUUAUUUCAUUUAUUUGGUUUAGAAGAGUUUAUAGUUUUAAGGAUUGUGUGAAUUUAUAAUGUUAGGGAUGUAUUUAAAAUGUGAUGAAUAUAUAAAAUUUACGUGGAUAUAUAAUAUUUAAAUGAAUGGAUUUAAUAAGGACAAGUUUGAAAAUAAUGUGGAUGUAAAUAGUAUUUUUUUAAAAUUUUAAAAUUUUAUUAGGGAUAAUUUAGAGGGGGGAUUUACUUGGAAAAAUCGUUGAUGGAAAUAACGGUGCCCAUGGAUUUUCCUAUGAGACAACAAGGGUUCUCCAAAUCGAUUCUUUUUCCUACAUGAUUUCUGAUUUUUUGUUGAGUAUUUCUUUGUUGUUGCAUUUUUUGAGGUAUUUACUUUAGGAUUUGUUUGUUUCUUCUGUGACUUUAUUUUUAUGUAAGAAGAUCUAAGUUUUGAAUCGAAGGUUUGGGGAAGAAGGGAUUUUCUGCGAGAAAGCAAACGGGUUAGCAAGUGUACUCCACAUCAGUUAUUUUUCUACAUGAUUUUUUAUUUUGUUGGAUAUUUUUCUUCGUUGUUGCAGUUCUUGAGGUACUUUGUUCAAGAUUUAAUUUUCUCACAAUUUUCAUAAUUUCUCUUUUCGUUGUCUAUACAGAAUCAUUUGACGGGAUCGAUAUUAUAUUUGUAGAUAUUAUGUUCUCACUAAACGUGUUUGUCGAAGUAUUCUUAUCCAAAAUGAGAGUUGAUCAUUUAUUUUUUUCUGAUUUGUAAAAAAAUGUUAUUUAUAAUGUUUUGGAAAAAAAAUAUAAGGUGCUAAAAAAUUGCUGCUAUUGAAUAGUUUCUUUGUUCUAGAAGUUUUAAACCUCAGUUUAUGAUGUAUUUGCCCAAAACAGAAAGAAAAAAGAUGGCACAUGAAACCUAUAACUUCACCACGAGCCAGACCCAUUUGUGUUUCAUCUUAACCUUCAAAACGAGCUUAGGAAAUGCCAUUUAAGCUUCAGCCUUUUUGAUUAAUUUUCUCCUUUAAACUCUCUUAGCAUUUGAGCAAAAAAUUCUUUGUUGCUCUUAUAGAACCUAGAGUUGAAACAGAGAUCGAGGUUACUAUUUCAAGGGUCGGUCCUUGUUAUGAAAGACCUCAAGUCUAGCUACAUUUGGAUUCCUCUUCGACAGAAUUGGUAAGUACUCUAUAUUAAUGCAUAUAUGAAACUUUAUCACAUACUCUGCAAGCGACGUGUGGAAUGCCACAUUCAUGUGUACCCUAGAUUCAUAGUUGUUUGGGAGAAACUUUUACACGUCCUAAAGAACAUGCUCUAAACUUUUGUUUUGGAUAUUUAUAUUAUUGUAGAAUAAAGGCCAGCCUACUGAAGAUACUGUGUUAUGACUAUGAGGUUCUCUUUUCUUUCUUCCUAUAACUCGUCUUUAUGUUACAAGAGGGGAAGAGGAUGCUGAUUUUCUUUUAUAAAAACUUGUAAUUUUUGACUUUGACUUGGAUAGUUACAUAUUUAUGUGUAUGAAGAUAUCUGGUCUGCACUAGAACAAAGCAUUUGAUAUUUUUUGUUUUACAUUAAGUACGCUAUGAGUGCAAAUCAUUGUCUAAUUUUUCUGAAUAUCAAGACAAACACCUCAGAUGUGCUGGAUACUGUGCAGAUUGAAACAUGUCUACAGUAGAUUAUUUCAUUGUUGUUAUGUUCAACGAUGUCUAACCUCAUAAUUGCCUAUUUAGAAGUUCAUACGCAUGCUGCAAUUCAUUUGAUAUCAUUAAUACAUAUAUUCAUGAUCUUAUGAUGUAUGAAUGUGGAAUGAAUGAUCGCUUGAUAAUUGUUUUUCCAUGCAUGUCUCUCUAUAGCUGUCAUUUAUUUUAGUUUGAUUGUGUUUUGUUGUCUUUUGACUUGGGGAUUUUGAAAGUCAUUGUGAACAAGCUAUUGAGUUAAAGUCUUAGUAAUUGCUUGCUCUUAAUUCUUUCCUUUAAUUUAGUUUACUUACUAUACUUUCAUUUUCAAUAUUACAGCACUAAAUGUUAAAGAUACAUUAUUAUAAGGACAAGGUAGUUACCUCAGAAAGUAUGCUAGAGAUUCUAUGCAAUAGAAAGUUAGAGCUAAAUUUUGCCUUGUAACUUAAGUCAGUGCCUAAAAAUUAAAGGUAAAACAUGUACUCUUUUCUCUUAACAAGUAAAAAAGUCCAACUAUAGAUCAAUCAUGUAACUAAACAAACUUGCCUCUAAAUAAAUGUGUAUAUGUGGAGUGUUAGAAGGGUGUACAAGCCUAUAAUAAAGUGUGGUUGACAUCUUUGCAUUGCUAAUUUACUAAUGCCUUUGAACUUUAUUCAAGUUUUUGAGUUAACAUUUGAGAUUUCAAUGUGGUGCAUUUGUGUUCUAUACCUCUCUCAUCUUUUACAUGAGGUAUAAACAACACAGUUUAAUUGAAGUUUAUGUGAAUUGAGAAACUGUAGAGCUAACAGUAACUUGCCUUUGAUGUCAUUCAAUUUUCAGCUGCUUCAAUUUUUAAUUAUUUCUCCCUUUACUUGAGGUGUAAGUGGCCUGGUUUAGUUAUCUAACAUAAGAAAGCUAUAAAAUGGCAGGGUAUUAUUUAGGCCCCGUUUGAGUCACAUUCUUUCAAACAAAUAUAUUCUUAAACAGUGAUUUAACAUCAUUCCAAUCACACAUCAUUCAAUAAAAUGAUAUUACAUGCAAAUCCAAAAUUUUUCUUUAUUUUUUAACCACACAUUUAUUAUUAAUACACUAUUUAAAAACGCAUUCUUAAGAAAACAAUCUGGGUCAAACAAGGGCUUAUUAUUUAAUUGUUGGAGAAAAAUACUUUACAAAUGAUAUAUGAGAAGUAUGAUUAGGCUUUGCCAUUUUAAAUGUUAAAUCUACAAAUUCAGUUCAAUUUUCAAAUGUAAUCAUCUCUGUUUCUUAUUUUACUUGCUUCUUUAAUCACAUCUAAUACAAUGGUGGAUGCUAAUCUUCAAAAGCUGCAUGAGAUUGUAACCAAGAAUUGUUAUCAUACAUUGACUCUCAAGAGUGUCCAUUCCAAAAGAAGACAAAAUAACUCAAAUUAGAAAUAUAGGACUUUUGCUUGUGGUAAGUAACCUUAUUUUUAUAUUUUAUCUUCCUAAACUCUCAAAUAUUUUCCUUGGUGUUUAUUUUUAAACAUACAUAUUAUUAACUCAUCCUUAUUCUGUUAACAUAGCAUAGCUUCUUUUGGUUAAAAGCAAAACCACAUAUCACACAUUAUGAUCAAUCUUUAUGGUACAUGUCUUGCAACAACUGCACGAAAUCUGCAUAUGCGAAUUUCGAUGAAAUCCAUUGCUGCUCAUUUUAGAAAAACUCUCAAGCACGUGCUGUUCGAAGGUAAUAAUUGCAUACACGUCAAUUAGAAUUUCAUACAGUACAUGCUUUUCCAACUCUUAUGUCAUCUAUCUAUGUUGUAUUGCCAUUGGGCAAGAGCUUCUAUCCAAUUGCAAGAUUCAUCAGGUUGUAUUGAUGCUACCAUUAUAGGAGAACCUGCUGAGAAGUUCUUACAAUGCUCUGCGCUUAUACUUAUGAAACAACUCUGAUACCUACCUCAAACAUAUUUUUAAAUUAUUAUGCUAUCAUAUAUUCAUUUACAUUGCUAAUUCUAGUAUUCCUAUUUCUGCAUGACAAAAACAAACCUCUCAGAAUGAAUCCAUACCUCAACAAAUGAAGAUCUAUUCUUCUAUGUAAAAGCUGUAAAAUAAAAAAAUGGAUAUGAAUACAAGUACGAAGUCAGCUCACUGUAGAUACAUCUUCAACAACAUGAAAGUUCACAUGUAAGCAUUGAUGGAAGCACAUUUCUAACUCCAUUUGUUGAAUCACUACACUUGAUGCAACAUGAUUCUAAUGAAUCAUCAGCUCGAAGGGUAAUAUUCUCAACUUCUAGUUCUUCACAUUCCCAAAACAAAGAAGAUGAAAGAAAAAUAGUGGUUAAGGCAAAGGCAUUGCAGUGAAUGAAUCAAUUGAUGAGAAUUUUGAAUGAUGCAGAAUGUUAAGCAUUGGAGAAGUUAUGCAAGUUAGAAAUGGUUUUUGUUUCUUCGUCUCUUUCCAGUUAGAACUGCAAGAUGUAGCAACAAAUAGAUCCUAGAAUUUGCAUAUGAAAUUUAAAAUAUCACUUGUAUUUCAAGCUACUCAUGAAGUAGUUAUUCAGCUAAACAUUGUAGUUUGGGUCUAUAACUGUUCUACAUUCAGACUUUGAUAUUCUGGUUAGUUAAAUGAAAUUGUGUGAUGGUUUUUGGAUCGUUAUUAUCUUUUUGGUUGAUGUUUGUGUACGCCUGUCUCCAUUGUGUAGAUUGUACAGC